GCAAUACUCGAAUCUGAUAUCGCUGGAGUUUGUUGCCUAAGGAUCUCACAUUCGGUAGAGAUAUAUAUAUAUAUAUAUAUAUAUAUAUAUUUGAAACACACAAAUGUGAGAUCCUUAGGCAACAAACUCCAGCGAUAUCAGAUUCGAGUAUUGC
RNAcentral lists this microRNA precursor (154 nucleotides) under Brassica napus (rape). RNAcentral's name for it is "pre miRNA MIR530". Lineage: Eukaryota; Viridiplantae; Streptophyta; Magnoliopsida; Brassicales; Brassicaceae. The record is from RNAcentral.